GGCUGAAUGACUGGGGAGUAAUAUAACCAUGAGUUAAAAUUUAGAUAACAAAGAAUAGAUAAAAAUCCAUCAAUGAUGCGUAAGCAUUUUUCUAGAUACUAAUGUGGCCACAUAUUGCAUCCUCUUAACCUAUGCGAUGAGUGCGUGCCUUUGCGAUGCAUGCCUUCUUGGUGAACUUGGAAGAUGAUGUGCCCUGAGAGUUUUUGGUGAUGAGACAAAUCAAAGUUGUUGAAGAGUUGGUCUUUUCGCACACAUUGGUAGACAGUGAGGUCAUCCCGGGCAUAUCAUCUCCAGGACCAUGGUUGC
Molecule: long non-coding RNA, 306 nt
Filed under: Brassica rapa (field mustard)
Lineage: Eukaryota; Viridiplantae; Streptophyta; Magnoliopsida; Brassicales; Brassicaceae
Description: long non-coding RNA (BRAP_LNC004299)
Source: RNAcentral